GAUGGUGGUGGCAGAUAGACAUACUUGAUUUCUUCCGCAGUCUUCUGUUCUUCAACUAUACUCUGUCCAAUCUCUUGACGGUGAAUGUUCCGCUUACCUUUUCUUCUAGCUGUAUUCUGCGACGGAGUCGGUUUCGGUACCGAUGAUGAUGUCGACGGCUUUCGUUUAUAGAAAUCCUCCAUGUCCGUUUCUUUCCAUUCGUCAACGCCACUUUUAGAGUGUGCAAUGGAGCGAUACGUUCUCUGCACUUUCUUCUUUCCAAUUUUGGCCGGAAAAUCCAUCGGAGCUGCAACAGGUGGAGGAGGCAAAU
RNAcentral lists this long non-coding RNA (310 nucleotides) under Linum usitatissimum (flax). RNAcentral's name for it is "long non-coding RNA (LUSI_LNC000989)". Lineage: Eukaryota; Viridiplantae; Streptophyta; Magnoliopsida; Malpighiales; Linaceae. The record is from RNAcentral.